Molecule: unclassified non-coding RNA, 380 nt
Filed under: uncultured fungus
Lineage: Eukaryota; Fungi
Description: partial contains small subunit ribosomal RNA, internal transcribed spacer 1, and 5.8S ribosomal RNA
Rfam family: Eukaryotic small subunit ribosomal RNA (bases 1-73)
Source: RNAcentral
CCAAACUUGGUCAUUUAGAGGAAGUAAAAGUCGUAACAAGGUUUCCGUAGGUGAACCUGCGGAAGGAUCAUUAUUGAAUAAAUUUUGGCUGGGUUGUUGCUGGCUUUUUUAAGAAGCAUGUGCACACACAGUCCAAUCUUUUAAAACCCCAUGUGCACCCUCUGUAGAUCUGGAACAAUUCAAGUUUUUUUUUUUUUAAAAAAAAAAAGAUCUUGGUUUUUUAGAAUUGCUAUAGCUUUUCUUAUGUUUCAGAUCUAUGCUUUUUAAUAUACACUCCAAUGAUGUAAUAGAAUGAUGCAACAGGCCAUUGAGCCUUUAAACAAAAUAAUACAACUUUCAACAACGGAUCUCUUGGCUCUCGCAUCGAUGAAGAACGCAGC